This 253-nucleotide ribosomal RNA is filed under the name uncultured bacterium. RNAcentral's name for it is "partial 16S ribosomal RNA". It matches the Rfam family "Bacterial small subunit ribosomal RNA", at positions 524 to 776 of the family's 1533-position model. The record is from RNAcentral.
UACGUAGGUUGCGAGCGUUGUCCGGAAUUAUUGGGCGUAAAGGGCUCGUAGGCGGUUUGUCGCGUCGGGAGUGAAAACUCAGGGCUUAACCCUGAGCCUGCUUCCGAUAUGGGCAGACUAGAGGUAUGCAGGGGAGAACGGAAUUCCUGGUGUAGCGGUGAAAUGCGCAGAUAUCAGGAGGAACACCGGUGGCGAAGGCGGUUCUCUGGGCAUUACCUGACGCUGAGGAGCGAAAGUGUGGGGAGCGAACAGG